Molecule: unclassified non-coding RNA, 334 nt
Filed under: soil metagenome
Description: partial contains 5.8S ribosomal RNA, internal transcribed spacer 2, and large subunit ribosomal RNA
Rfam family: 5.8S ribosomal RNA (bases 1-120)
Source: RNAcentral
GAUGAAGAACGCAGCGAAAUGCGAUACGUAAUGUGAAUUGCAGAAUUCAGUGAAUCAUCGAAUCUUUGAACGCACAUUGCGCCCGCCAGCACUCUGGCGGGCAUGCCUGUUCGAGCGUCAUUUCAACCAUCAAGCCCCAGGCUUGUGUUGGAGCCCUGCGGCUGCCGCAGCCCCCUAAAAGCAGUGGCGGGCUCGCUAUCACACCGAGUGCAGUAGAUUUCUCUUCGCUCAGGGCGUGUGGCGGGUUCCGGCCGUGAAACCCCCUACUCUUUAAGGUUGACCUCGGAUCAGGUAGGAAUACCCGCUGAACUUAAGCAUAUCAAUAAGCGGAGGA